UAGAUGGCCCUGCAACUCCAGUUGGUGCACUCAGCAGUGCUUUAAGCAAACUCCAAGCUAGUACUAAGUUUAGACAACUGCGCGAAGCUGGCAAGGUAUAUUGGAUUCAUUUUUCGUUUAGUAUGGUGUAACUGGUAAAGUUAUUGCCAUGUGACUAAGAGGUCAUGGGUUCAAGCCGUGAAAACAGCCUCUUGCAAAAAUAUAGG
Molecule: long non-coding RNA, 206 nt
Filed under: Nicotiana benthamiana
Lineage: Eukaryota; Viridiplantae; Streptophyta; Magnoliopsida; Solanales; Solanaceae
Description: long non-coding RNA (NBEN_LNC000765)
Source: RNAcentral